RNAcentral lists this ribosomal RNA (913 nucleotides) under uncultured bacterium. RNAcentral describes it as "bacterial SSU rRNA". It matches the Rfam family "Bacterial small subunit ribosomal RNA", at positions 516 to 1427 of the family's 1533-position model. The record is from RNAcentral.
CGCGGUAAUACGUAGGGUGCGAGCGUUAAUCGGAAUUACUGGGCGUAAAGCGUGCGCAGGCGGUUUUGUAAGACAGGUGUGAAAUCCCCGGGCUUAACCUGGGAACUGCAUUUGUGACUGCAAGGCUAGAGUGCGGCAGAGGGGGGUAGAAUUCCACGUGUAGCAGUGAAAUGCGUAGAGAUGUGGAGGAAUACCGAUGGCGAAGGCAGCCCCCUGGGUCGACACUGACGCUCAUGCACGAAAGCGUGGGGAGCAAACAGGAUUAGAUACCCUGGUAGUCCACGCCCUAAACGAUGUCAACUAGGUGUUGGGGAAGGAGACUUCUUUAGUACCGCAGCUAACGCGCUAAGUUGACCGCCUGGGGAGUACGGUCGCAAGAUUAAAACUCAAAGGAAUUGACGGGGACCCGCACAAGCGGUGGAUUAUGUGGAUUAAUUCGAUGCAACGCGAAAAACCUUACCUACCCUUGACAUGCCAGGAAGAUUCCAGAGAUGGGAUUGUGCCCGCAAGGGAACCUGGACACAGGUGCUGCAUGGCUGUCGUCAGCUCGUGUCGUGAGAUGUUGGGUUAAGUCCCGCAACGAGCGCAACCCUUGUCAUUAAUUGCCAUCAUUCAGUUGGGCACUUUAAUGAGACUGCAGGUGAUAAACCGGAGGAAGGUGGGGAUGACGUCAAGUCCUCAUGGCCCUUAUGGGUAGGGCUUCACACGUAAUACAAUGGUCGGUACAGAGGGUUGCCAACCCGCGAGGGGGAGCUAAUCCCAGAAAGCCGAUCGUAGUCCGGAUUGUUCUCUGCAACUCGAGAGCAUGAAGUCGGAAUCGCUAGUAAUCGCGGAUCAGCAUGUCGCGGUGAAUACGUUCCCGGGUCUUGUACACACCGCCCGUCACACCAUGGGAGUGGAAUCUGGCAGAAGU